This 73-nucleotide transfer RNA is filed under the name Ictidomys tridecemlineatus (thirteen-lined ground squirrel). RNAcentral's name for it is "Spermophilus tridecemlineatus (thirteen-lined ground squirrel) tRNA". It matches the Rfam family "tRNA". From Rfam's summary of the family: Transfer RNA (tRNA) molecules are approximately 80 nucleotides in length. Their secondary structure includes four short double-helical elements and three loops (D, anti-codon, and T loops). The record is from Rfam by way of RNAcentral. Lineage: Eukaryota; Metazoa; Chordata; Mammalia; Rodentia; Sciuridae.
GUGGGUGUAGCUCAGUAGUAGAGCACUUGCCUAGAAUGUUAUGAGAUUGUGGGUUCAAUCCCCAGCACUGUCA